AGGUCUUAGCUUAAUGAAAGUGUCUGAGUUGCAUUCAGGAGAUGUGAGAUAAAGUCUUGCAGAUCUUA
Molecule: transfer RNA, 68 nt
Filed under: Neotrygon kuhlii (spotted stingray)
Lineage: Eukaryota; Metazoa; Chordata; Chondrichthyes; Myliobatiformes; Dasyatidae
Description: tRNA-Ala
Rfam family: tRNA
About the family: Transfer RNA (tRNA) molecules are approximately 80 nucleotides in length. Their secondary structure includes four short double-helical elements and three loops (D, anti-codon, and T loops).
Source: RNAcentral